Molecule: long non-coding RNA, 201 nt
Organism: Gigantopelta aegis
Lineage: Eukaryota; Metazoa; Mollusca; Gastropoda; Neomphalida; Peltospiridae
Exons: 2
Source: RefSeq, a predicted model, not a curated record
AUAAAAUGUUCUUUUACACGAGGUGUUUCAUUCUGGCUGUAAUUUUCUUCUGGCUGAGUCGCAUAAAUUACAUAUCUUUCAAAUAUCGCCAAAUAUGAGAAAUACAAUGCUAGUGUUCGUUAUCUUAGGUUUGGUUGCUUCGGUCAACUGUGUGUGUGACACGACGGCUGCGGGGACGUGCGCUACCACUCUAGCGUCAGA